RNAcentral lists this ribosomal RNA (253 nucleotides) under uncultured bacterium. RNAcentral describes it as "partial 16S ribosomal RNA". It matches the Rfam family "Bacterial small subunit ribosomal RNA", at positions 524 to 776 of the family's 1533-position model. The record is from RNAcentral.
UACGUAGGGUGCAAGCGUUAAUCGGAAUUACUGGGCGUAAAGCGUGCGCAGGCGGCUUCGCAAGACAGAUGUGAAAUCCCCGGGCUCAACCUGGGAACUGCAUUUGUGACUGCAUGGCUAGAGUACGGUAGAGGGGGAUGGAAUUCCGCGUGUAGCAGUGAAAUGCGUAGAUAUGCGGAGGAACACCGAUGGCGAAGGCAAUCCCCUGGACCUGUACUGACGCUCAUGCACGAAAGCGUGGGGAGCAAACAGG